Molecule: ribosomal RNA, 253 nt
Filed under: uncultured bacterium
Lineage: Bacteria
Description: partial 16S ribosomal RNA
Rfam family: Bacterial small subunit ribosomal RNA
Source: RNAcentral
UACGUAGGGUGCAAGCGUUGUCCGGAAUUAUUGGGCGUAAAGAGUUCGUAGGCGGUUUGUCGCGUCCGUUGUGAAAGCUUGGGGCUCAACCCCAAGUCGGCAGUGGAUACGGGCAGACUAGAGUCAGGUAGGGGAGAACGGAAUUCCUGGUGUAGCGGUGAAAUGCGCAGAUAUCAGGAGGAACACCGGUGGCGAAGGCGGUUCUCUGGGCCUGUACUGACGCUGAGGAACGAAAGCGUGGGGAGCGAACAGG